AGAGUUUGAUCCUGGCUCAGGAUGAACGUUAGUAGCACGCCUAACACAUGCAAGUCGAGCGGAAAAUAGCAAUAUUUUUAGCGGCGAACGGGUGAGUAAUACUUAUCUUACCUACCGAUUAGUGGGGGAUAGAAUUCCGCAUAUUAUGAGUAAUCAUGAAAGUGUCUUCGGAUUCGCUAAUUGAUGGGGAUAAGGCGUAU
Molecule: ribosomal RNA, 200 nt
Filed under: uncultured bacterium
Lineage: Bacteria
Description: partial 16S ribosomal RNA
Rfam family: Bacterial small subunit ribosomal RNA
Source: RNAcentral